Molecule: long non-coding RNA, 925 nt
Organism: Cottoperca gobio
Lineage: Eukaryota; Metazoa; Chordata; Actinopteri; Perciformes; Bovichtidae
Exons: 3
Source: RefSeq, a predicted model, not a curated record
UGAUGGGACUGCAGUCUGUCAGAGAUCAGCUGUGCUUCUCUGGUCUCAGCUCUGAAGUCCAACCCCCCCCUCCUGAGAGAGCUGGACCUGAGGAACACCAAGCUGCAGGAUUCAUCAGAGAAGCUGCUGCGUGACCUUCUGAAGAGUCCAGACUGCAGACUGGAGACUCUCAGGAUCGAUGACGAGUUGAUCACAGCUGAGAAACACAGAACAUAGGACUCCAUCAAACUGGAUGUGUGAACAAACCUGCCCGAGGAAGACAGCAAGGUGAAAGAGGAGCAGCUGCACAGUGUGAAGUAUAUUUAUGGAGCUUCACCACAGAAUCAAAUGUAGUUAUUGGUAAUUGUUUGCCUGGGACCGACCUGCAGGCUCAGCUUGUAUUAGCUCAGAUCAACUGGUCCUCCUGCUGGAGAGACGAGUGGAAGAUGGAGCAGUUCAUAUCUAAAGAUAUAUAUAUAUAUAUAUAUAAUUAACUUGGGUUACUUAAAUAUAUUUCUUAAAGCUUAAAGUGCAUCAACCUGUUCACCUUUCAUAAGUUCUCUUGCUGGAGUUCUGAUAUACACUUGUACUUGUUUAAACUUCAUCAGACUUCUUGUUUCUGAUACUCAUCGUCGCAUCUUAAACAUUAUUCUUAUUAUGGCCACACAGUAAAUACAUCACCUUCAUCAAUACAAGCAUCUUAUGGCACAUGUACAAUAAGUGCGUUCACUCUUUAGUAAGUUAGUGAGAUGACUGCACUGCAUGGACUCCACCACAGAGGUGUAUGCUGGAGUGUGCACACUUAGGUUCCCUCUAACAGACUCAUUUAAAUGUUCAUCACUCUUGUUAUAACUUUCUAACUUCAUGGUGAACUCUGUAAAGAAGAAGAACGUAAGUGUUUCUCAUUAUAAUGACAUAUUACUGAAGUUGAUUUAUUCCAGCUCUA